RNAcentral lists this RNase P RNA (392 nucleotides) under Actinomycetota bacterium. RNAcentral describes it as "RNase P RNA component class A". It matches the Rfam family "Bacterial RNase P class A". Rfam says of the family: Ribonuclease P (RNase P) is a ubiquitous endoribonuclease, found in archaea, bacteria and eukarya as well as chloroplasts and mitochondria. Its best characterised activity is the generation of mature 5'-ends of tRNAs by cleaving the 5'-leader elements of precursor-tRNAs. The record is from RNAcentral. Lineage: Bacteria; Bacillati; Actinomycetota.
UGAGUCGGCCGGGUGGCCGCGGCACGGCAUGACCGUGUCGAGGAAAGUCGGGACUCCAACGGGCAGGGUGCUGGCGAGAGCCAGGUCGCGGCGACGUGACGGCCCAGUGCAACAGAAAGCAAACCGCCGAUGGCCGGCAACGGCACAGGCAAGGGUGAAACGGUGCGGUAAGAGCGCACCAGCGUCCGAGGUGACUCGGUCGGCUCGGCAAACCCCACCCGGAGCAAGGUCGAGCAGAAGGUAUGGGCGGCCCGUCCGCUCCGCACCGCGAGGGCCUGGGCGGUGCCCAGGAAUCGAGGUGCGGCGCACCUUCGGGUAGACCGCAUAGAUGGAUGGCCACCGGCCGCCCGCCAGGGCGGUCACAGGAUCCCGCUUACACGCCGACUCACCGU